AACGAACGCUGGCGGCAGGCUUAACACAUGCAAGUCGAACGCCCCGCAUGGGGAGUGGCAGACGGGUGAGUAACGCGUGGGAAUCUACCCAGAAUUUCGGAACAACUGAGGGAAACUUCAGCUAAUACCGGAUACGCCCUACGGGGGAAAGAUUUAUCGGUUUUGGAUGAGCCCGCGUUGGAUUAGCUAGUUGGUGAGGUAAUGGCUCACCAAGGCGACGAUCCAUAGCUGGUCUGAGAGGAUGAUCAGCCACACUGGGACUGAGACACGGCCCAGACUCCUACGGGAGGCAGCAGUGGGGAAUAUUGGACAAUGGGCGAAAGCCUGAUCCAGCCAUGCCGCGUGAGUGAUGAAGGCCUUAGGGUUGUAAAGCUCUUUCAGUGGGGAAGAUAAUGACGGUACCCACAGAAGAAGCCCCGGCUAACUUCGUGCCAGCCGCCGCGGUAA
Molecule: ribosomal RNA, 447 nt
Filed under: uncultured bacterium
Lineage: Bacteria
Description: partial 16S ribosomal RNA
Rfam family: Bacterial small subunit ribosomal RNA
Source: RNAcentral